AAUGGAGUAAGAAGGUGGAGAUGGGGGAAAGAGCAUAUUAUACAGUGGAGAGAAAGCUGGACUUGAAGUAUGAAAACAUCUUUACAUGUGGAAUCUUCUUCUUUUGUAACCUUCUGGUUUCUGCCCCAGAACUGCAGGCUCAGGAAGUGAAUUCAAGAGGAUAAGAAGAAUCCAGAACUAAAAAAAGGAUCAUUCUUUGGAAAAAAGAAGAAAGUUUGGGGAAAUUAUGAUGGUGCAAAAAUGUUUUAAAGAAUAAAAAAUGUAUAAAACAGAGAAAUUAAUUUAUU
This 287-nucleotide long non-coding RNA is filed under the name Monodelphis domestica (gray short-tailed opossum). RNAcentral describes it as "lncRNA (ENSMODG00000035753.2)". The record is from RNAcentral. Lineage: Eukaryota; Metazoa; Chordata; Mammalia; Didelphimorphia; Didelphidae.